UCGAGAAUCUUCCGCAAUGGACGCAAGUCUGACGGAGCGACGCCGCGUGCGGGAUUAAGGCCUUCGGGUUGUAAACCGCUGUCAGUAGGGAGCAAAUGCAUAAGGGUUCUCUCUUAUGUUUGAGCUAUCUGCAGAGGAAGUACGGGCUAAGUUCGUGCCAGCAGCCGCGGUAACACGAACCGUACGAACGUUAUUCGGAAUCACUGGGCUUAAAGAGUCCGUAGGCGGCUUGGUAGGUGAGGUGUGAAAUCCCACAGCCCAACUGUGGAACUGCGCUUCAAACCACUAGGCUUGAGGAAGUCAGGGGUGAGCGGAACAAAUGGUGGAGCGGUGAAAUGCGUUGAUAUCAUUUGGAACACCGGUGGCGAAGGCGGCUCACUGGGACUUUUCUGACGCUGAGGGACGAAAGCUAGGGGAGCGAACGGGAUUAGAUACCCCCGUAGUCC
This 446-nucleotide ribosomal RNA is filed under the name uncultured prokaryote. RNAcentral's name for it is "bacterial SSU rRNA". It matches the Rfam family "Bacterial small subunit ribosomal RNA", at positions 355 to 796 of the family's 1533-position model. The record is from RNAcentral.